This 716-nucleotide ribosomal RNA is filed under the name uncultured bacterium. RNAcentral describes it as "bacterial SSU rRNA". It matches the Rfam family "Bacterial small subunit ribosomal RNA", at positions 50 to 747 of the family's 1533-position model. The record is from RNAcentral.
UACACAUGCAGUCGCACGAGAAGGGCUUCGGCCUGAGUAAAGUGGCGGACGGGUGAGUAACACGUGGGUAACGUGCCCCCCGGACGGGGGAUAACAUGCCGAAAGGCGUGCUAAUACCGCGUACGACGAGAGUUCCGGAAGGAGCUUUCGGGAUAGGUGCCCUCUGCAUAUGGUACCGACGGAGGAUCGGCCCGCGGCCCAUUAGCUAGUUGGCGGGGUAAAGGCCCACCAAGGCGACGAUGGGUAGCUGGUCUGAGAGGAUGAUCAGCCACACUGGAACUGAGACACGGUCCAGACUCCUACGGGAGGCAGCAGUGGGGAAUAUUGCGCAAUGGGCGAAAGCCUGACGCAGCAACGCCGCGUGAGUGACGAAGGCCUUCGGGUUGUAAAGCUCUGACGGGAGGAACGAAACCCUGGGGUUCGAAUAGGGCUCCAGGCUGACGGUACCUCGCAAGAAAGCACCGGCUAACUCUGUGCCAGCAGCCGCGGUAAUACAGAGGGUGCAAGCGUUGCUCGGAAUCAUUGGGCGUAAAGCGUGCGCAGGCGGCCGCGUGUGUCGGGUGUGAAAUCCCGGGGCUCAACCCCGGAACUGCAUCCGAAACUGCGCGGCUUGAGUACGGGAGAGGGAAGCGGAAUUCCCAGUGUAGAGGUGAAAUUCGUAGAUAUUGGGAGGAACACCGGUGGCGAAAGCGGCUUCCUGGCCCGAAACUGACGCU